RNAcentral lists this ribosomal RNA (506 nucleotides) under uncultured bacterium. RNAcentral's name for it is "partial 16S ribosomal RNA". It matches the Rfam family "Bacterial small subunit ribosomal RNA", at positions 29 to 523 of the family's 1533-position model. The record is from RNAcentral.
AUUGAACGCUGGCGGCAGGCCUAACACAUGCAAGUCGAACGGCAGCGGGGGGUAGCUUGCUACCCCGCCGGCGAGUGGCGGACGGGUGAGUAAUGCCCGGGGAGCUGCCCAAUCGAGGGGGAUACCAGUUGGAAACGACUGCUAAUACCACAUACGCCCUGAGGGGGAAAGGUGGGGAUCUUCGGACCUACCGCGAUUGGAUGCACCCAGGUGGGAUUAGCUAGUUGGUGAGGUAACGGCUCACCAAGGCGACGAUCUCUAGCUGGUCUGAGAGGAUGACCAGCCACACUGGAACUGAGACACGGUCCAGACUCCUACGGGAGGCAGCAGUGGGGAAUAUUGCACAAUGGGGGAAACCCUGAUGCAGCCAUGCCGCGUGUGUGAAGAAGGCCUUCGGGUUGUAAAGCACUUUCAGCGAGGAGGAAAGGUGGCUAGCUAAUACCUAGUUGCUGUGACGUUACUCGCAGAAGAAGCACCGGCUAACUCCGUGCCAGCCGCCGCGGUAA